This 253-nucleotide ribosomal RNA is filed under the name uncultured bacterium. RNAcentral's name for it is "partial 16S ribosomal RNA". It matches the Rfam family "Bacterial small subunit ribosomal RNA", at positions 524 to 776 of the family's 1533-position model. The record is from RNAcentral.
UACAGAGGGUGCAAGCGUUGUUCGGAAUCACUGGGCGUAAAGGGCGCGUAGGCGGCCCUCCUUGUCGCGUGUGAAAGCCCCGGGCUCAACCUGGGAACGGCGCGCGAGACGGGGGGGCUGGAGUUCGGGAGAGGAGCGUGGAAUUCCCAGUGUAGAGGUGAAAUUCGUAGAUAUUGGGAAGAACACCGGUGGCGAAGGCGGCGCUCUGGACCGAGACUGACGCUGAGGCGCGAAAGCGUGGGGAGCAAACAGG